This 277-nucleotide long non-coding RNA is filed under the name Homo sapiens (human). Its description in RNAcentral is "HSALNT0250883". Lineage: Eukaryota; Metazoa; Chordata; Mammalia; Primates; Hominidae. The record is from RNAcentral.
CUGUUUCUUAGUUUGAAUGGGAGGACUCCUUUCUCUCUCACACCUUUCUCCUGGUCUAAUGCUCCUUUUAAGGAAGGUGGAAGGAACAAUGGAAGAAUGCUUGUAAAGUAAUGUAUUCUUAAGAACUAAAGCUAUUUGCAGAAGGGCCGAAGCUAUGUGGUGUGAAAGGGAAAUGAAGAGGGUGAGUUGGGGGGCUCGAGGAGGCAAUCUUAGAAGAACCCAGUGAGUAGCCUGGAGGGUGUUAGGGCCAGGAUGGACCUGGUGGGUGGAUCACAUA